RNAcentral lists this ribosomal RNA (257 nucleotides) under uncultured bacterium. RNAcentral's name for it is "partial 16S ribosomal RNA". It matches the Rfam family "Bacterial small subunit ribosomal RNA", at positions 524 to 776 of the family's 1533-position model. The record is from RNAcentral.
UACGUAGGUGGCAAGCGUUUGUCCGGAUUUACUGGGCGUAAAGAGCGCGCAGGCGGUCGUUCAAGUCGCGUGUGAAAGCCCCCCGGCUCAACUGGGGAGGGUCACGCGAUACUGAUCGACUCGAAGGCAGGAGAGGGAAGUGGAAUUCCCGGUGUAGUGGUGAAAUGCGUAGAUAUCGGGAGGAACACCAGUGGCGAAGGCGACUUCCUGGCCUGUUCUUGACGCUGAGGCGGCGAAAAGCUAGGGGAGCAAACGGG